RNAcentral lists this long non-coding RNA (1023 nucleotides) under Homo sapiens (human). RNAcentral describes it as "HSALNT0304253". The record is from RNAcentral. Lineage: Eukaryota; Metazoa; Chordata; Mammalia; Primates; Hominidae.
CUUUGGAAGCUGCUGCACAGGGGUUAACAACAAGCAACAACUCAGGUCGCAUUCUUGUCAACGGAAGGGAGGGCCAGGUGGAACCGCCAAGGGGGCCAUUUCUGGCUUUGCUGGAGGCUGUCAGCUUCUGGUGGGAGCCACAGCCUGAGGGCAGCCAGGAUGGCUCUGCUGGGAGGGACACCCUGCCCAACCCUGGGAGCAGGUGACGAAGGCUCCUGGAGGCAUGGUCACAUCCCUGGGUCCCAGAGGCAGGAACAAAGCCCCCAGGGCAGUGUUCAUCAAGAAAGGGCCUCCGGGUUUGUGUUUACUGGACAUGAAUUGAGCUGCUCUCCAGAGAUAAGAAAAAAAUAUUACAGCCCUGCUAUGUGGGCACCCCACGGCAGCCCCCGGGGUUAAGGGGCAGCUUUCUUUCCAAGGAAUCCCAUUGCCAAAGAUGAACCUUCAGGUAAGGGCUCAGAGCUGCUUGCUUGGGCAGAUACUUCCAGCAGGGUUCCCAGGGAUGUGAGUCCAUCUCCCCACAGAGGAAUCUGUGCUCAGGCGCUGUGCCCAGGGAAUAUCAAGAUCUGCACCCUGGAAACCUAAGGCUGUAGCCUCAGCCCCAGUUAAGGAUCAUGCGGUCUGGUCUGUCCCUUUGUUUUACAGAUGGGGAAACUGAGGACCCAGAGGAAGCAAGAGCAGCCCCAGGCCACACAACCCUCUUUUUAUUAUUCAUUCACUGACUACACUGCAGAGGUUGGACCCAUAUCUCAUUAUUUGAAUAGUAAAUUGUUUUUUCUUCCUGACCCUUGGUCUGUUGGGUCUCUCAUUGCGCCAUGCAUCCAAGAAAGAACGUUCUGAAGCUUUCCAGUGCCACCCAAUCCCUGUAUCCUACUUUAUGCUUGAAAGUAAAGCUCACGGGUUUUUUUCUACUUCGGGUUGUUUAAAUAACCACAAUCGGUCGGGAGCGGUGGCUCACGCCUGUAAUCCCAGCACUUUGGGAGGCCGAGGCGGGUGGAUCACCUGAGGUCAGGAGUUAGAGACUAG